GGCCCAACUUUUAGAGGAGCCCAUUAAGCUUUUUAUUAGGGUUUCACGGCUUUCACCUAACCGUCAUUCACUCCCUCUUUCUCUCCUCUCCUCUCCUCCCCGUCAUUCACCUCGUUCUGUAAUUUCAAACUCAGUCCUUCUCUCCUCUCCUCCAUCAAUCUUAGAGAAAAAAUGGUUACCUUCUAUCGAAUUUUAAUUGCGAGUUGUCUCCAAUUUCACAGCCUCUAUUUUCCAACUACUUUGUUUUCAUUGUCAUUGUCAAUGUUGCCGUUGUUGACUACUCUUCCGGUGAAGUCCGAUGACAUGCUUUCUGAAUGGGAGAGAGUUUAACUUUCGAUUGAUCCUGGUGUUGUUCUACUUGAUAUCGCCUUUGUUCUUGAUGAUCCUAACCACGUUUCCUCCUCCAUUGCUGCAUUUGGGGCCUCCACUCACCUUCUGCUCGCCGCCGGUGAGUCGCCAUGGUCCACGUCGUCUACCCAACUGGAGAACUGUGGUGAAAAUAUGGAGGAGUUUCUGAACAGACGUUUCUACCAAUCUAGUCAGUAUGAUUCUACAGAAACCUUUGUGGAGCUAGACAAAAAUCUCAGGCAACAUGAGGUUGGGGGGAUUGCUAAUCGACUCUUCUAUUUGUCAAUUCCACCAAACAUCUUCAUAGAUGCGGUGAGAUGUGCAAGUAUAUCUACAUCCUCUGCAAAUAGGUGGACCCGGGUCAUUGUAGAGAAACCUUUUAUUCGAGACUCAGAGUCCUCUGGCGCUUUGACUAGUGGACUAAGCAGUACUUGAAUGAAGAUAAGAUUUUCAGGAUAAAUCAUUAUCUUGGGAAGGAACUUGUUGAAAACUUAUCCGUUGUAGAUUUGUGGCAGUUGUGCACUUGUGCUUAUCUCACAUCACUGCUCGUUAGCUUCUACGUACCUAGAACAACUUCCUAUCAAAUAACAGCCUAUUCUAGUGAGUUGUAAACUCUUAACUCUUGCGAAAACUAAGGUAAACACCAAAGCUCCCAACCGUGGUAGAAUCCAUUGUUGCAUCAGUUGUCCAGUGGAUUGGCUCUAUAUUGAUUCAAGAGGCCAAUAUAUUAUUCGAUGUUGCAGAUCAAGUACGGGGCCUUCAGCAAGAGCUUGAACUAAUGCAGCAUGUCUGAAGAGAGCUGGAUCAUGAGAUUCGCUUGCUUCAUGCAUAGUGCCCCAAAGAUGUAUGAAGUUGAGAAGCAUAUAUAUAAUAUACGAGAAGAAGUUGAUAAAAUCAUUGAAAAGUUAAAUAGCUUUGGACUAAGAAGAAUCAAUGAAGUAGAAGGUUUUUAGUUUUAGUUGUUAGGCGAUAAUAAAUGUAUUUUUUUGCUGAUUGUAUAAAUAUGAAGUACUAUAUUUAUCUCAAUUAGUUAAUCGAUAAUUGUGCUAUAA
Long non-coding RNA from Chenopodium quinoa (quinoa), 1400 nucleotides. RefSeq lists it as uncharacterized. NCBI's taxonomy places the organism in Eukaryota, Viridiplantae, Streptophyta, Magnoliopsida, Caryophyllales, Amaranthaceae. The transcript has 6 exons. The record is from RefSeq and is a predicted model, not a curated record.